GAUAAAUCACGUAGAAUUCAGGUACAGGGUUCUUUCCUUUACCAUAUCUUGGUAACUUUAUUUAGAAUUCAGUAACCGUUCGCAGCAUGUUCAGUUCGGGAUCACGUACAACACCAAAAGUGUUCAUCGAUAGAACGAGUAUUUUUCCAGCCGUGAGUUUCAGUGGGUAUUUCGAUAUGGCGAGCACCAGAACGAUGUCACGAGCUUUUCUCCCAGGUAGAUUAUACCAUCCUAUAUCGUACAAAGCGGUCGCGAUUUCGCUACC
Molecule: unclassified non-coding RNA, 265 nt
Filed under: Bombus terrestris (buff-tailed bumblebee)
Lineage: Eukaryota; Metazoa; Arthropoda; Insecta; Hymenoptera; Apidae
Description: misc RNA ENSBTSG00005035800.1
Source: RNAcentral